AGUUACUGCUAUCGAGGUUCGACUAAGCCAUGCGAGUCGAAUGUAGCAAUACAUGGCGAACUGCUCAGUAACACGUGGACAACCUGCCCUUAGGUUGGGUAUAAACCCGGGAAACUGGGUAUAAUACCCGAUAGGUCUCGAUUGCUGGAAUGCAUCGAGAUUUAAAGCUCCGGCGCCUAAGGAUGGGUCUGCGGCCUAUCAGGUAGUAGCGGGUGUAGCGUACCUACUAGCCUACGACGGGUACGGGUUGUGAGAGCAAGAGCCCGGAGAUGGAUUCUGAGACACGAAUCCAGGCCCUACGGGGUGCAGCAGGCGCGAAAACUUUACAAUGCUGGCAACAGCGAUAAGGGAACCUCGAGUGCCAGGUUACAAAUCUGGCUGUCGAGAUGCCUAAAAAGCAUUUCAUAGCAAGGGCCGGGCAAGACCGGUGCCAGCCGCCGCGGUAACACUGGCGGCUCGAGUGGUAACCGUUAUUAUUGGGUCUAAAGGGUCUGUAGCCGGCCGGAUAAGUCUCUUGAGAAAUCUGGCAGCUUAACUGUCAGGCUUUCAGGAGAUACUGUCUGGCUCGAGGCCGGGAGAGGUGAGAGGUACUUCAGGGGUAGGGGUGAAAUCUUGUAAUCCUUGAAGGACCACCAGUGGCGAAGGCGUCUCACCAGAACGGACCUGACGGCAAGGGACGAAAGCUAGGGGCACGAACCGGAUUAGAUACCCGGGUAGUCCUAGCCGUAAACGAUACUCGCUAGGUGUCGGCCACGGUGCGACCGUUGUCGGUGCCGUAGGGAAGCCGUGAAGCGAGCCACCU
Molecule: ribosomal RNA, 802 nt
Filed under: uncultured archaeon
Lineage: Archaea
Description: bacterial SSU rRNA
Rfam family: Archaeal small subunit ribosomal RNA
Source: RNAcentral